Schistosoma rodhaini is the source of this 46-nucleotide non-coding RNA. Lineage: Eukaryota; Metazoa; Platyhelminthes; Trematoda; Strigeidida; Schistosomatidae. The record is from Rfam.
GCACAGCUGAGGAGUCCCACAAUAGGACGAAACGGCCGUCCAGUGC